RNA transcript from Gadus morhua (Atlantic cod), 2464 nucleotides. RefSeq lists it as uncharacterized. The record is from RefSeq and is a predicted model, not a curated record. NCBI's taxonomy places the organism in Eukaryota, Metazoa, Chordata, Actinopteri, Gadiformes, Gadidae. The transcript is spliced from 5 exons.
UGUUAUGAUGGCAUUGCCAUAAAUCAGGGUUAGGGAUGUGUUGGUGCGUCAUUCAUAUAAUUAGCGCCAUAAAGCUGGUGGUAAAUGGAGAUAAGAGGGUUUUAUACAAAUAGCCUUGUUGACUUCUCGCGAUAGGCUAAGGUAUGAACUAAGUAUUUAUGAUUUAUUGUAUGCCACUUGUGAAUCCUCAAUGAUGAUCGAUGCUCGUUUCUUUCAAUUACACGAUUCGACCAAAUGUCCUUUGAAUCACAUUGCAACCGAUGCGUUGACUUCUAUUUUUUUUUUUUUUGCACCUGAAGCUAAUUAUAGUGACAAGUUGGUGAAAAAAGUAAUGUGAAACUUUGCGCACAGAGUGGGACGUCACAUCCCAAACACUCGCUCCAAUGCAGGAACACAAGAUCCGCGCACUAUAAAUAAAUAGCUAAAUCCUCAUGUGUAGUCACACUUUGAAGUGAUUGUAUAUAAAUGUAUCCUAGCCUAUCCGUUGUUUAUGUGUAGAUGAAAGUAAAGAACAUUUAAGAAGAGCAACGAUGAAGACACGGCCAGGGUCUGGGCAGAUUUAAACAAGUGAAUUUAUGAAUCAAGAAUGACCAAUGCCUCUUAUUUGCAUCAUUCUUCUUUCUCCUUUUCUUCUUCCUGUAGUCUCCUCCUGUUACAGACAUAAGACAUCGGAGGAUAUCGUGUACGACUACAAAAGCCUUGUGAAAGUUUUUCUCGACGAUGCUGACAGAUAUUUGAGGGUAAGACACAUGCUGGUUUCACAGACCUUAUUCAUUAAGCGGCCUACAAGCGACACAGGUUUGGGGAACUGAAUGCGGAAAUCCACAUUUUGUUACAUCCUUGACACUGGUAUGAUUCAGAAUAUCGAAUAGAGUUCGACAAAUAACAUAACUAAAGACGACAAUUAGGCGGUGUCAAUAUGUUUGCACAUUUUCUUAAGUCUAGUGUUGUUUGCAACUUGAACUAUUGUACUGUGUCAGGAAAGUAAUGAAGUGGGGCCUGAGUUUAAAUCCAUUUGAUUUAGUAGUCUCUCACACACGCACUGCUGCAAUCAGCCUCUCCGUCUGGUUGCUCCUGCUUUUGUAUGCAUGUGCCAGUGGUUCACAAGAAGGCACGUAGAGAGUAGGUUUACUUCUGAUGCCUUUAACCUCUUUUGGUACUGAGUACAGUGCUUAAAAAUGUAGAAGAGAAGGAAAGCAAUAUAAGCAUUGACUGCAAAGAGUCGACACUUAACCCACAAAACCAGACCAUUAAGAACAUUAACAAUAUAGUCUGCAGAAUGGAUCGAUGGGAGGCGUCCUUCAAAGACCGGCUGGUGGAGACGGUCAAGGCAUCGGGGGAGUGCGGAUGUCGCCAUGACACGGCCAAAGCAACCCGACCUCCGUUGAAGCGCCGGACACUAUGCAAAGUCAAGUCCCUUCUGAGUUCCAUGAGGAACAUCUACGAGAGUGUUUGUGCACAGUCAUCUCACCGUAACUCCGAGGUAGCGACCUCUGUAACGACUUUGUGAGACUAUUCCUGUCCUGUAUAAGCUAAGAAAAACUUCUCAGAAGAGGAAACUUCACUUCAGCUAUCCUGUCAAAUGGCUUCAUUACCCACUUGCUGCCGUGUGUGUGCGUGUGCGUGUGCGUGUGUGUGUGUGAGAGAGAGAGAGAAAGGGGAGCUGCAGGGUAGCCUUUUAAAACCAAGCAAUCACAUGAAAAAAUGAAUAUGCUAACUUCAAGUGAAAGUUUUAAGUGACUUUCAGGGAGUAGUUGAGGGAAUUUUGAAAAGUCGUAUCUAUAUCAAAAUGGGAUAUGAUGUAGCAGUUUCUUGUGGAAACUUUUGCACCUUUACUUUCGCUUUAUGCAUCUUUGCACAUUUACUUUCGCUUUGUUCAGAAAGGAACACUAAGGCAAGUCUGGGCAUGUGUGGAUUUGCCAAAUAUGCCUGUCAUUAUGCGCCUCAGGAUCUAUAUCAAACUGGUGCAAUUAUCACAUUCUGUGAUAAAAUGUGAUAACUUUAGCGUAAAAAACAUCAAAAUCAGACGGCCAUGUUUUGGCCUGAUGUUUGUUUUUGUGCUUUCAUUAAUGCCUUUUUCUGUGCAGAGAUCAAUCGAUUUCACGCCGUCUUAAAACAGCAUGAAGAAGGCUUUCAGAGCAUGAAGUACUUAAGAUUUAUUUAUAUAAUUUCAAAUAAAGAAAACAUGUGUUAAAAAGGAAAGUAAUGCAGGACAAAAAGUGUUAUUUUGUAAUUCGCGAUUUCAACUGAUUAGAUCAUGCAAAAGUAAGGAAAGAAACUCACAGCUUGCAAAAUGUUAGCCCAGAGGUUAAUAGGGAAACAUUACUUUUGUAACCUGUGAAAUUCAAGAAAUGUGUAAAUAUAAUUUUGUAAAACUAGCUAAAUGGCAUUGAUGUCUACAAUUCCAAUAAAUAUACAUAAGCUUUUGUCUAAUGUGCAUUCUCAAUUAAAAAAAGUCAUUACA